ACGCUCGACACCUACGGGAGACAGCAGUGAGGAAUAUUGGUCAAUGGGCGCUAGCCUGAACCAGCCAAGUAGCGUGAAGGAUGAAGGCUCUAUGGGUCGUAAACUUCUUUUAUAUAAGAAUAAAGUGCAGUAUGUAUACUGUUUUGUAUGUAUUAUAUGAAUAAGGAUCGGCUAACUCCGUGUCAGCCGCCGCGGUAAUCUGAGCGGGCUGGCAAGGC
Molecule: ribosomal RNA, 218 nt
Filed under: uncultured bacterium
Lineage: Bacteria
Description: partial 16S ribosomal RNA
Rfam family: Bacterial small subunit ribosomal RNA
Source: RNAcentral